UACGCGUGCUCUUCCGAUUGAAAGACUCUUGUAAGGAGAGACCGCCGGCCCAAAGUAAAAUAUAUCCCACAUGCUCGCUCAAAACAUUAAACCUGCAAGCUUGAUACAUUGUGUUGAUUCGACAAUUUGUAAGAUAUUGAUAUAAAAAGAAGAAAAACGAAAAAAAUGCAAAAAUACUACUUUUCGUAAUAUUUAAUAUUAUAAUAAAAUGAGAAUAGAAACGAAUGAAAGGCGUAACAAUUUUGUAAUACUGUAGGACAACGCAAAUUUUUCAGAUGAAAAUUUUUCCAUCAUUGUACGAACAUCAUUUCAAUGUUCUUUCUUACAAAAAAAAAGAGAAAAAAAAAACAAAAAAGAAAACUUAAAGACGGUUUCUUGCCUUAGUGGGCGGGAUCCUGCCAAAGUGAUUAUUAAACACUAGCCAAAGUAUUAUAAUUUAUUCCCAUUAUAUUGUGCAAGACCACUCACGUACACAAACUUAAGAAGACUACUUUAGACUUAUGGGAUUAUAAAAUAAAAAUCUUAAAAAAAUUUAA
Molecule: long non-coding RNA, 536 nt
Filed under: Neodiprion pinetum (white pine sawfly)
Lineage: Eukaryota; Metazoa; Arthropoda; Insecta; Hymenoptera; Diprionidae
Description: uncharacterized LOC124211889
Source: RNAcentral